UACAGAGGGGGCGAGCGUUAUUCGGAAUUAUUGGGCGUAAAGGGCGCGUAGGCGGCCUUUCAAGUGACGGGUGAAAUCCCUCGGCUUAACCGAGGAACUGCCUGUCAGACUGGAAGGCUUGAGACCGGGAGAGGUGAGUGGAAUUCCCAGUGUAGCGGUGAAAUGCGUAGAUAUUGGGAGGAACACCAGUGGCGAAGGCGGCUCGCUGGGCCAUUCCUGACGCUGAGACGCGAAAGCUAGGGGAGCGAACAGG
This 253-nucleotide ribosomal RNA is filed under the name uncultured bacterium. Its description in RNAcentral is "partial 16S ribosomal RNA". It matches the Rfam family "Bacterial small subunit ribosomal RNA", at positions 524 to 776 of the family's 1533-position model. The record is from RNAcentral.